Molecule: ribosomal RNA, 2004 nt
Filed under: Triticum aestivum (bread wheat)
Lineage: Eukaryota; Viridiplantae; Streptophyta; Magnoliopsida; Poales; Poaceae
Description: partial small subunit ribosomal RNA
Source: RNAcentral
AUGUUGUCCUCUUGGGUUCUCCUGGGAGACUUUAAUCUUCUCUGCCGCGUUGACGAGAAAAGCAAUGGUGCCAUUAACAGGCGUCUGAUUAACAGUUUCCGCUCGGCACUGAAUUUCCUUGAGCUUGAUGAGAUGAGACUUCACGGUCGCCGCUACACCUGGGCUAGCACCUGCCCACAGCAGACUAAAACCAUGAUCGACCAUGUCUUUUGUUCUACUGAUUGGAACCUCCUCUUUCCCCAAUGCCACCUAUGCGCCACCUCUUCCUCCAUGUCAGACCACUGUGCUAUGCUCCUCACUGGUCAAAUUAACCACAAGAUGUUAUCCGGAUUUCGCUUUGAGAACUACUGGCUUAAAAUUCGAGGAUUCAGAGCCAUUGUAUCUGAAUCGUGGCAAGCACUUGUCGCACACGCCGACUCCAUGUGCAGAAUGCACUGCAAGCUAUCCCGCCUUGCCAAAUCUCUCCGGCUUUGGAGCCGCCGCCGUGAUCUGUCCAUCACGCAGAUGGGUCUCCGGCUACACCUUAGGCACAAGCUCCUCUGUGUGGCUGCCAUCCAGCGGGUGCGUAUCCGCCAACGAUCUCGCAUCCUUUACCUGCGUGCAAAUGAGGCUGACUCCAAGCUCUUCCACAUCAAGGCAAAUGGAUGGAGACGACGGAAUUUCAUCCCGGUUCUAGACAACGGAGCGGCUCAGCUAACCCUGCAGGCUGACAAGCAAAAGGCGCUUCUUGACCACUUCAGCAGCACGAUCGGCACUCCAACCCCCAGGGAGUUGCGUGUCAGCCUCUAUGCCGAUGAUGCAACUCUUUUCGUUGCACCUACGCCACAAGAUAUCGUCACCACCAAGGAGAUCCUUUGGGUCUUUGGUUCUGCUUCUGGGCUAAAGGCCAAUAUGCAAAAAAUUUCUGGUGCCUCUCGAGUAGUUCCCGUGCAAAUACCUAGGCUACCUCUCCAUCACAACAAGAUAACAAGAGCUGACAUUCAACCAACCAUUGACAAACUGGCUUCCAGAUUACAGAUUUGGAGAGGCAAGUUGCUCUACGGGGAUGCACGCCUUAAGCUUAUUAACUAUGUGCUCUCUGCCAUUGCAGUUCACCUUCUUUCUGUGUUCAAGCUUGACGGGUGGGCUCUCAAACAGAUGGAUAAGCUUCGGAGGAACUUUUUGUGGCGCUCCAAGCCUGAUGCUGAUAAGGGCAUGGCUCUCAUGAACUGGAGCACUGGUUGUCGCCCCAAGGGGCUAGGGGUGCUCGAUCUCCAAUGUUUCAGCAGAGCACUUCACCUCCGGUGGAAAUGGCUAGACUGGACUGACACAGAUCGCCCCUGGGCCGGCACUGAGAUCCCUUGCGAUAAGGAUGACCUUGCCUUAUUCUUUUCCUCCACUGCGGUGGCCAUCGGGAAUGGACUGACUGCCAAUUUUUGGAAUGACAAAUGGCUCGACGGACAUGUGCCAUGGCUCCUUGCUCCAGAUAUCUUCAGACUCUGCUCCCGCAAGAAUAUCUCUGUCCAUGAUGUUGUCUCUAAUAACAAGUGGAUGUUCGGCCUGCACCGGAUCUCUGACAUCUUGCAGCUUUGCCAGUUUGCUGUCCUAUGGAACCAACUUCAGCAGGUAACCCUUGACCCUCUCGCUGCUGACUCCAUCUCAUGGGUAUGGAACUGCUCCAAGUCAUACUCUGCAUCGUCUGCAUAUCAGUGCCAAUUCCUUGGAUCUUUCUGCCCAAUUCGGUUUGAUAAGCUGUGGACUGCGAAGGUGGAAGCCAAGUGCAAGUUCUGCAUGUGGCUAUGGCCGCGGGGCCCGAUCCUUACCGCCAACAACCUUGACAUCCGAGGAAUUCCUCACAAUGAUGUAUGCUGCCUUUGUGACUAUGCUGAUGAGAUGCCCACUCAGCUCAUCCUAGCCUGCCCUUUUGCCAGGAGCGUCUGGACCAUGGUAGGGAACAACCUGGGCAUUGCCUAUUCUUGCAACGAACGCUCAGACUGCGGUUUCUAUCGAACAAUGGUGGGAUGA